This 750-nucleotide ribosomal RNA is filed under the name uncultured bacterium. RNAcentral describes it as "bacterial SSU rRNA". It matches the Rfam family "Bacterial small subunit ribosomal RNA", at positions 61 to 810 of the family's 1533-position model. The record is from RNAcentral.
GUCGAACGGUAGAGGGGGCAACCCCUUGAGAGUGGCGAACGGGUGAGUAAUGUAUCGGAACGUGCCCAGUCGUGGGGGAUAACGUAGUGAAAAUUACGCUAAUACCGCAUACGAUCUAAGGAUGAAAGCGGGGGAUCGCAAGACCUCGCGCGAUUGGAGCGGCCGAUAUCAGAUUAGGUAGUUGGUAGGGUAAAGGCCUACCAAGCCAACGAUCUGUAGCUGGUCUGAGAGGACGACCAGCCACACUGGAACUGAGACACGGUCCAGACUCCUACGGGAGGCAGCAGUGGGGAAUUUUGGACAAUGGGCGAAAGCCUGAUCCAGCCAUUCCGCGUGCAGGAUGAAGGCCCUCGGGUUGUAAACUGCUUUUGUACAGAACGAAAAGGUCUCUAUUAAUACUAGGGGCUCAUGACGGUACUGUAAGAAUAAGCACCGGCUAACUACGUGCCAGCAGCCGCGGUAAUACGUAGGGUGCAAGCGUUAAUCGGAAUUACUGGGCGUAAAGCGUGCGCAGGCGGUUAUAUAAGUCAGAUGUGAAAUCCCCGGGCUCAACCUGGGAACUGCAUUUGAGACUGUAUAGCUAGAGUACGGUAGAGGGGGAUGGAAUUCCGCGUGUAGCAGUGAAAUGCGUAGAUAUGCGGAGGAACACCGAUGGCGAAGGCAAUCCCCUGGACCUGUACUGACGCUCAUGCACGAAAGCGUGGGGAGCAAACAGGAUUAGAUACCCUGGUAGUCCACGCCCUAAACGAU